UACAGAGGGUGCAAGCGUUAAUCGGAAUUACUGGGCGUAAAGGGCGCGUAGGUGGUUAAUUAAGUCAGAUGUGAAAUCCCUGGGCUUAACCUAGGAAUUGCAUAUGAAACUGAUUGUCUAGAGUUCGGGAGAGGGAAGUGGAAUUUCCGGUGUAGCGGUGAAAUGCGUAGAUAUCUGGAGGAACACCGGUGGCGAAGGCGGCAUCCUGGACCAACACUGACACUGAGGAGCGAAAGCCAGGGGAGCAAACGGG
Molecule: ribosomal RNA, 253 nt
Filed under: uncultured bacterium
Lineage: Bacteria
Description: partial 16S ribosomal RNA
Rfam family: Bacterial small subunit ribosomal RNA
Source: RNAcentral